Homo sapiens (human) is the source of this 1143-nucleotide long non-coding RNA. Lineage: Eukaryota; Metazoa; Chordata; Mammalia; Primates; Hominidae. The record is from Ensembl.
ACAGUGAAAGCACAAAACAUCAAGCCAACAGUUCAGGACUAGUCAUUCAAAUGGACUAAAGACGCCAAGAACCUGGACACCCUCCACCGGUAACAUAUUUUGGCGAGCCAGACAAGAGGACCCUUGGUGGGCAGUGCCUAAACAGAGACAACUACAGGUUUCUGGCUGUGGCCACUCUCUGGUGAAACUAAGGGGUUUCUGUGUGGAGGUGCCUAACAGCCACCGUCCAGUUUGGUAGUAUGAUGCCUCUGGCUUCCCUCUAUCACACGUCUUCUUUUCGAGUAAAGGUUUUUCAUAAAUGUGAGCGUGGAAGAAGAAACCAGUUAAAUAUGGAACUUCACACCAGGACACAAAAGAUGGUGUCAGAAGCGGAUCCGAAGUGGAACUUUUAGUGACCCUCAGGAGCACUGAAUGAACAUGCAAGGAACCUGCAGGACCCACUUGUGUCCAUUGAUCUCUGGGAGCAGCUGGGAUAAGCUCCUUUUCGGAUUUCAGAGCUCCAUGGACUUGUGUCUUGAGAUCCCUGAGUUUCUUUGAGCAAAUUUCUGAUCCAAAAUGGGUUUGGCAUCAUGGCAGAAACAGGACUGGGUCCACGAAUGGAUUUGAUCCAGGAAUGAACUGGCUUGGAUCCAGUCAGAGGUCUCUUACAUCUGACUGGGUCAGAAAGGAACUGGUAGUAAGCAGUAAUAUUGCAGAGGUUAUAACAUUUGGCUUUUAAAAAAUAACAGGAAUUUUUGUGUUCUACCUCCUAUGUUAAAUUUUUCUUGUAUACUUAGGUAGAAAAAAGUCAUUGGCUAAGUUAAUCAAGAGAACCUGAGAGUAAAGCCAAUAUUUUAGGUAAAAAUGAGAUCCUUAAUUUCUGGGAAACUGAGUUCAUUCUGGUUUAUACUUUAAGCCUGGGAGGCAGCGAAGUCUUGCGGCAAAAUCUUACAAAAGAUAACUUACAGGGGAACGCUGCAAAUGAACAACAAUGCAUUGAAGUAAAUUUAAAAAUGAUGGUUCUCGGUAAAUUCCCAUUGGCUAAGAAUGGAUUUGGCACUUCGGGAUGUCAACUGCUAUUCUCUUUGGAAUAAUCUGUCUUGCACUCUUUGAUGACGACUAUGGGUGACAGGAUUAGGGAUUUACAGGAUCCUGGGACAUGGG